GCUCGGGCGGCCUUGGCGGCGGCGCGGCGCGCCCGCGCCAGCCGGUACACGUUCCACAUGCAAGGCUGCACGGCGACGAGCACGUGGGCGACGAGCGUGAGCGCAUAGUUGGCCGGCUGGCCGCACUGGUCGAGCACGCCGUACUGGAGGGUCUGCAGGGUCUCCAUGAGCGCGUAAAAGGCGUAUGGGUAGACGAGCGGCGGCACAGCCGAGGCGCCGCCGGAUCGGCGCGGUGCCGCAGCGACCAGCCAUGUGACGACGGCCCAGCCGCCGAGCGCCAGCGCCGCCGACAUGGAUUGCGAGUAGCACAUGUGUGCGCCGGUCGAAUAGGGCAAAAGAGGCAGAGGUCAAACAAUAAAAGAGAGAGCGAGCGAGAAGAGAAAGAGAGGAAAAAAAAAGGUGCCUCGCAGGUGGGGAUCUGCGCGCUCUUGCAAUUGAGCGUGCCGGCGGUCCGUCGUGCGUGUAUAUCUCGGCGGUGCCCUUUUUUCUUCUCCUUUUUUCGUCGCGCGGGUCUCUUUUGUGUCUGUUUCGGUCGCUUUGGCUCUCCUUGUUCUGGUGCGGGGCGGCGGCGGCGGGGAUGAGAACAAUGGCGCGCCGGCUCUGGCGCAGUAGGAAGGAAAAAAAAGACCGGACG
RNAcentral lists this long non-coding RNA (634 nucleotides) under Pandoravirus dulcis. Its description in RNAcentral is "putative ncRNA". The record is from RNAcentral.